GCCCUUAUAGCUCAGUGGUAGAGCGCAACACUUGUACAAUUCUGCGAGUUAAUGUUGAGGUCCAUCGUUCAAUCCGGUGUGGGGGCA
This is a non-coding RNA of Hypoxylon crocopeplum, 87 nucleotides long. Lineage: Eukaryota; Fungi; Ascomycota; Sordariomycetes; Xylariales; Hypoxylaceae. The record is from the annotation of a GenBank genome assembly.